UUCAUAAAAUAAAUAAAUAAAUAAACCAUCAAAAGAAAUAAUGCGAGUAAAGUAGAAAUGAAAAAGAAAAAUCUUAUUAACAAUCAAAGGCCUUCACUCCAUCAAAAUCUUGUGCUGUUCACAGUAUAGCCAGUGUACCAAUAAACAAGAAAGAAAGAAAUGAAGCAGAAUUUCAAUAAAAAGAAAAGAGCUUGGCAUCGCAACCACUUCACUAAGAUUGGUUCCAAACAAUGAAUCAAUGCAACACAUAGGAAUUCAACCCAACAGAAUUUUCAGAAUUACAGCUUUUCUCUCAAGAUUAUAGCACUACGAAAACCACAUUAUAAAAAAGAUUCGACAUGAAAAAUAAGCAUAAAAUUUAGGGGAAACUAGGUAUGAUUUUGCAGUUUCAGAAAG
Molecule: unclassified non-coding RNA, 396 nt
Filed under: Hevea brasiliensis (rubber tree)
Lineage: Eukaryota; Viridiplantae; Streptophyta; Magnoliopsida; Malpighiales; Euphorbiaceae
Source: RNAcentral